CUGCCCCACUCACUAAAGCUUUGAUUUAAUCCAGCUCAGCUAGAACAGGCAGCUGCCACAGGGAUUGGGCUCACCCAACAGCAAGCCCUCAGGCAACUUGUGGGCCUACAUAGGCUGGGUGCCUGGAUCCUCAGCAGGCAGCUGCUGUUUGGGUAGGCAAAGUGACAGUGGGGAGACCCAUCCAGAGGCCAUUGUACACAUGUCAUCCGGAGAUGAUGGUGACUGGACCAGUGUGGUGACCGAAAAGAUGGAUAGAAGGAAGCAGACUCCAGAUGCAUUUUGAAGGUGGAGCUGAAAGAACCUCCCAACAACAGAUUGGAUACGCGGAGUGAAGGGAAGGGAGGAAUCAAGGAUGCCUCUUGGGGUUUUGUCUCAAGCAAGGUGUCUUCCUAUUAAAUAUGGGGACCACGAGGACCCUCUGCUAUGUUCUUAGUGGACAUCACAGAUGUGGAAGAGACACGGCCUUUGGAAUCAGAUUUGUUUCUGUUUCCCAGAUCUGCAAUUUAAUAUAUGUGAACCUGGAUGUUUCAGUUGGGAAUGACAAAUUCAUACGCUAUAGGGCUCAAGCAGUUACAACGAUGAGGAAGAAGGCAACAGGGAGUGGUGUGGACUGGUCCAAAGUGGAGAAUGCUGCCCCAUCUUUCUCCAGACAGCAAGAGAGGAGAGCAAGCAUGAACUGGAGUGAUUAACGGCUCUUUUCUGACCACAUGCCCUCAUCUGUAAGACAAUGUGGGGAAAGCCCCCUUUCUAUGUUUUAUUUUGCAUUCCCAGGAUAUGGCCAAGGUGGCAGGGACAUAGGAGAGAAGAGGGGAGGAAUUCCAGUUUGAGAUCCAGAAGUCCUCUCCUUUGAUUUAAGGCAGUGCUACAGCAGUUAAAGACAUGUCCGACCCGUCUCCAUACAUCCUUCUCUCUGCCCUGCUCCCAGCUCUCCCAGUACCCACCGUCUUUGGGAACACUCUCCCUUUUUUGGAGCUUGUUCUGUGAUGAGGGCCCACUGCCUCCUAAUGAUCUCCCCCAUUCAACCAGAUACUUCAUCUUUGAUGACAUGCCCUAAGGUCCUGAAGAAACCUAGGCUUUCUGCACAAGUAACCAAAACUUUUCAGUAGAAUUCAGUUAGGCAACUGGCUAUUUUGAGCCUAACAGGCAGUUUGUUUGGUUUUUGUGUGUGUUUGUUUCUUUACUAUUGAGAAAGUCACAAAUUGACUUCUGUCCAUAAGAAGCAGAUCCAGACCAUUUCUUUAUUAAUGCUUGGAGUCAAAAUUUUGAGAACUACAAUAUAACUAUAAAAGACAUUAAAGCUCUUUUUAAGGAAUCGAAAGAAG
This 1322-nucleotide long non-coding RNA is filed under the name Equus asinus (donkey). RNAcentral's name for it is "lncRNA (ENSEASG00005035861.1)". The record is from RNAcentral. Lineage: Eukaryota; Metazoa; Chordata; Mammalia; Perissodactyla; Equidae.